GAUGAACGCUGGCGGCGUGCUUAACACAUGCAAGUCGAACGGAAAGACCCAAGCUUGCUUGGGUACUCGAGUGGCGAACGGGUGAGUAACACGUGGGUGAUCUGCCCUGCACUUCGGGAUAAGCCUGGGAAACUGGGUCUAAUACCGGAUAGGACCACAUUUUGGAUGGUGUGGUGGAAAGUUUUUCGGUGUGGGAUGAGCUCGCGGCCUAUCAGCUUGUUGGUGGGGUAAUGGCCUACCAAGGCGUCGACGGGUAGCCGGCCUGAGAGGGUGUACGGCCACAUUGGGACUGAGAUACGGCCCAGACUCCUACGGGAGGCAGCAGUGGGGAAUAUUGCACAAUGGGCGCAAGCCUGAUGCAGCGACGCCGCGUGGGGGAUGACGGCCUUCGGGUUGUAAACUCCUUUCGCUAGGGACGAAGCGUUAUGUGACGGUACCUGGAGAAGAAGCACCGGCUAACUACGUG
RNAcentral lists this ribosomal RNA (466 nucleotides) under uncultured bacterium. RNAcentral describes it as "partial 16S ribosomal RNA". It matches the Rfam family "Bacterial small subunit ribosomal RNA", at positions 28 to 507 of the family's 1533-position model. The record is from RNAcentral.